RNA transcript from Selaginella moellendorffii, 4151 nucleotides. It is a transcript of the gene named ETHYLENE INSENSITIVE 3-like 1 protein, with no coding region annotated. The transcript has 15 exons. The record is from RefSeq and is a predicted model, not a curated record. Lineage: Eukaryota; Viridiplantae; Streptophyta; Lycopodiopsida; Selaginellales; Selaginellaceae.
CCUGGGGGAAUUGUACGGCAUUUGGAUGGAUAGCUAUUAGCUAGUAGUUGGCUAUGGCGAGGGGCGCUGCGCCUUUGCUCUUCUCUCUCUCGCCGAGCAAAGCGGGGAUCUUGAUGCGCUAGGGCAUCGAUUCUCGUUGAUCGUGUUGGCAGCGCCUCGCAGCGGUGGCGGCAUUGGGAUUAUGACGCUUGCCCGGGCAAUGUGUCGAAUUUGAAGGCGCUGCGCCACUGUGUCACGGGCGCGAUCGAGCGCGCGUCGACGGGGCAUCGAUGGAGCUAGGUAAUCACACAAGGGGCUCGCGUUGAAUCGAGCUUUUUCCUUCUUUCUCUCUGCUUCCCGUGAUCUUCCUCGCUUUUCCCAUUCGAUCCUCGGCUUUCCAUGGCGAAUUGGAGGUAAUCGCUCCGAAAUAUUCCCUCCUCUCGGAAGCGCUUGCUCGAAAUAUUUCCACUCCGAUCGAUCCGCAAGAUGGAGCUCCACGGCGGCGACCCGGACCUCUGCUAUGGCCUGGACGUGGAUCUUGUGGGAGACAACGAUGAGGCCUGGGCGAGGCGGUCGUCCAGGAUCACGAGGAUUUCAGCGACGACGACAUGGACGUGGACGAGCUGGAGAAGAGGAUUUGGAACGAUCGGCUGCGGCUCAAGCGGAUCAAGGACAAGCAAAAGGCCAGGGUCAACAACGCAUUCUCCUCGAAUCACUCGAAUCACAGCCAUGGGCAGCAGCAGCAGCAGCAGCAUCACGGCGGCCCAGCAGCGCAGCACCAGAAUCUGGGCAAUCUCCAGGAGCAAGCCCGGCGGAAGAUGUUGCGAGCCCAGGACGGGAUCCUCAAGUACACGCUCAAGAUGAUGGAGGUCUGCAAAGCCCAAGGAUUCGUCUAUGGCAUCAUCCCCGAGAAGGGCAAGCCAGUGAGCGGCGCCAGCAACAACAACCGCGUGAUGGAAGGAGAAGGUCCGCUUCGAUCGGAACGGCCCCGCCGCCAUGGCCAAGUACGAGGGCAUCUGCUCCAGAUCCGGCGGCGGCGCUGGCCAGCUCUCCGCCGCCGCCCCGACGCCACACACUUUCCAGGAGCUCCAGGACACCACGCAAUGCAGCACUGCGAUCCACCCCAGCGGAGGUACCCGCUGGAGAAAGGGGUGGCGCCGCCGUGGUGGCCGAGCGGCGACGAGGAGUGGUGGCCCGAGCUUGGGCUUCCAAAGGGGCAGGGGCCGCCGCCGUAUAAGAAGCCCCAUGAUCUCAAGAAGGUGUGGAAGGUUGGAGUUGUCACUGCGGUGAUCCGACACAUGUCCCCGGAUAUCGGGAAGAUCAGGAAGCUCGUGAGGCAGUCCAAGUGCUUGCAAGACAAGAUGACUGCCAAGGAGAGCGGGACGUGGAUCUCGGUGCUCAACCAGGAGGGCAGUGCUCGGGGAAUUUGAUCGGGCAGCAGCAGCAGCAGCAGAGCCACCACCACCACCACCAUAGCCAGGUGAUUGUGAUGAGGAUAACCCUUGAGACAUUAGUAUGAGGCUGCCUUGGAUUGCUCUUCCAGGAAGAGGUCGGAGAGCAAGCACAGCGACCUCACAAAGUCAGCUUCAAGCUGAAGAAGGCGGAGGCUGUUGAAGAGAUUGAUCGAGUGUGAGGCAAGUUUUUAGAGGAUCGUUCGAAGCUUUUGUGAUCUAAUCCUUGAGCAGCUGACAAGGGACAGCUCAUGAGGGAAGGCAGAGCUCCUCAGAAAGUUCUUGUGUGUGGUGAUUCCGGCAACGAUUCUGAGCUCUUUGCCGUCAAAGACGUUUCUGGAGUGAUCUUAAGUUCUUGAAGUCGAUUGAUCACUCACUCACUCACUGACGAUCUCAGGUCGGGAAUGCGUUUGAAGAUCUUACGCAGUGGUACCUUGAUAAUGCCAAAGACAAUCCCAAGAUCUUUCGUGGCACUGAAAGAUGCGCUUCGGGAAUCUCACAAGCUAUCCGAGAGUUCAAGUUUGAUCCUUGUGUUUCGCCCAGGGAUGCCGACUUACUGAGCCAGCUCACUGCUGGGGACACCGAAGGGUUGAUCGGACGUGGAGUGGUGCUACUGUGUGAGAUGGUUACGAGGCGAGGUUGAAAGCUCCCACGAGGUGUUUGAACACUUGAAAAGGCCAAUGGCCCCUGACUCAACGCUGGGACUAGAAGACGAUCUUCGUAGAAGCGUUGAGAUUCUACGUCCCCUCCACGGUAUUUACAGGGGAAAGAACUUCUGUAUGUGGGUUGAUCGAAUUCGUGCGACGAAGGUUGGGGACGUUACUUGGGUUGUCAAGUUUGAUAAGUGGCAGCGAACGGACGAAGAGCUGAAUUAUCGCUUGACAACCGCCGUGUGUUUCAAUAUGAGGAUGGCAUGCCUUAUGCGAGUGCAUUACGAAUCCACGAAACGUGGCUUGAUGGUUAUGCGGGAAGACCUUUGCUCCUAAUGUAGGAGGCACAGCCAACGAUAGGCGAAAAAAUAAGCAGGGACGAGUCAUCGUCCAGUGGCAUACAAAUUCCAGGUUUACUGAGAUUGAUAUAUGGUGAAGGAAAACGAGGGGUGACAUCAGGAUCAAAAGCGAGAAUCAAGCACACUCAGGUCGGAACGACAGGGAUCAAACUCAUCAGUAGCAACGGAGAGCAAAUGGAAGGAGAAAAAACCCGGCGGGUUGGGGUCCACGUCGUCAAUAAAACGAUGCGGAUCAAUGUUAAAAACCCACAGACUGAAUCUGGCAAGGAAAAGGAAAAGUAUAAUCGGGCCACUAAGAAGGUGGAGCAUUGCGAAUGGAAGAUAAGCUAAAAUGCAUUUAUUUUCGUUCUCUUUCUUUCUGCGUGGUAUGGCGGACUUCUCUCAGCAUAUCCCGAGCUGCAUAUCCAGUGAUUCAAAGCAAAGUUCUCACCCUUAUACCCCCCUUUGAUGAUAGUCGGGCAAUUAUCACACCACUAUUCUUCCAUGUCUUGUGUGUCUCUAGUCGGCCAACCAGAGUAUAAAAUGCGACCACCACCUUCAUUGCAAACUCCCCCCGCUCCCUCUUCCUCUCGCAGAAGGAGAGAAGGCUCCAAGUUUUUGAGUGAGCAAAGGGCUCUCACCUCGAGAACUCGACAAGCUCUCUCGAUUCCAAGCUUGGCUCCUUCGGUUAUUCUUCUCCUCUUCGUCCCCUUUCAAGAUUUGGUUGCGCCAGCAAUCGGGACUCUGACGAAACAAAACGCUCCAUAAGCGUGAUUUCCAGAAAGAAGCACAGGCGCCAGAAAAGUUUGAAGAGGCAUUCUGAACUUGACACCAUUUCCUCCAGGUAAUCCAAGCUUUCAGACAUGGUGAAGUUCCAGAAGCAGCUGGAGGGCCAGCUCGUCCCAGAGUGGCGGGUGAAGUACUGCGACUACAAGCAGCUCAAGAAAGUUGUCAAGAGAAUCAAAACCCAGAUCCUACAUACCAAGAACCAGCAGCACAAGGUGUUCGAUCCAAAUGUCUUCUCGGUUGACAAGAGCAAGCUUGAAAACUUGCUGCAAAAUCCCAGCGCCAUCCUGAGCAGCUGCUGCGAACAAUCCAUAUCCUCGGAAACGUCCAUGGUCUGUGAUGAUGGUCUAAAACACUUCAAUAUGAUCAGGUUGUGCACAAGACGAGAAUUGGAGAUGGCGAGGAUUUUUACGAGACAGAGCUGUUUGGAACUCGAUCGGAUCACGAAAAGAGCUUCUUUUUCGGCCUUGACGAUCAGCUCAACAAAGUGGACAAGUUUUUUAGAUGCAAGGAAGACGAGUACGAUGCUCAAGCACGGCAACUUCACAUCCAAAUGGAAGAGCUCAUCCCUAUGCAAGAUGACGAAUCUCAGAGCUUGAAGGGGAGCCCGGCAACAAAGGAAAGGUUCAGCGAGCAGCCAAGAUGCUCCAGACGGCCUUUGUCGAAUUUUAUCGUGGGCUUCGACUCCUAAGAAACUUCAGCUCCUUGAACAUGAUGGCAUUCGUCAGGAUCCGCAAGAAAUAUGACAAGGUGACUGGAGUCUGGCAGUUAUCUCAAGAUGGUCGAAAACUCGCAUUUUGCAACGUCGGACAAGGUAGUAAAGUUUAUGGACCGCGUAGAGAGAGUGUUCACUCUGCACUUUACGAAAGGCAACUGAAAGCAAGCCAUGGAUAUCUCAGGCCCAUACACUCUGCGAGCAAUCAUGGAAAUAUAAACUUUAUCAGGCC